RNAcentral lists this long non-coding RNA (797 nucleotides) under Parus major (Great Tit). RNAcentral describes it as "lncRNA (ENSPMJG00000000318.1)". Lineage: Eukaryota; Metazoa; Chordata; Aves; Passeriformes; Paridae. The record is from RNAcentral.
GAAAGGCUCCAGAUCUGUUCAGUCAUGAAGGUCAUAGUUGCAGGAGUUAGAAAAGAAGUCUGAGCCCUGGGCCUGAUGGACAUCAGAGAACACUCCUGGAGACAAAAAAAAGCAAGAGGCUGUCAUGACACAUGGAGAACUUGGUAAACGACAUGCAGAAGCUCUCUUCAGAAAGGAGGCAGGCAGCAGCUUUCCAGGUUGGUGCCUUUGCUGCGUGCAGCAGCUGCCCCUCUUUUUCCCCACUGAGACACCUGAUUGCAGCCCCAACCUCAGCAGCAGGACAGACAUCUGAGCAUCUCAGGUGAGCUGUGGGGUCUGUGGUGGGUGCACUUAGGCUGUCAUUAGUAAAUUAUUUAUGUCAACAAAAUUCUGUCAGGUACAAACAGAAAAAAGGCUAAAAAAUGAAAAGUCAAUGCUUCUUGUUAGAGACCCACAAAACAUGAAUUUUGGUUUCAGUUCAGCUUUUGGGUUUCAGAACCAUGCCUAAUGACCUGAAUAAUGCAUUAACUUUUGCCCUGUAGGUAGAUCUAAAAUCCAAACUUGCUACUCAGGAGGAAGCACUGCAACUGAAAAAUCGAGAUACUGAAGCUUUGAUUGCCAUGAUAGGGUUUCAGACUGAGAAACUGAGCCAAGAAAAGGCCAUUGCAGAUGCAGACGAGCUAAAGGUGUAUUGUGAGAGAGAACCAAAAUAUUGUGUGCUGGCUCAGGCUAACACUGAAUUAGCAGCAGCUACAGGAAAACUAGAAGUCAGCAGGAAAAAGUUUCUUUCCAAAAACCUGUUGGAGACAGUCCAUUGA